Long non-coding RNA from Homo sapiens (human), 600 nucleotides. RefSeq annotates it as CFAP418 antisense RNA 1. Lineage: Eukaryota; Metazoa; Chordata; Mammalia; Primates; Hominidae. The record is from RefSeq and is marked validated. The transcript has 6 exons.
AGUGAAGAGGUGCCAGAAUCCGCGAAGAGGGUCGACGAAUGCGCUGCCGCGGAGGGCCGUGGAAGAACUUGCCGAUGGAGGGACCACAGAGGGAUCUAUGGGAGAACAACGGCAACUGCAGGAGAGUGGGCCAAAUAAUCAUGGCAACAGGACUUUUAGAAGCACGUCCUCUGAAAGCCAUUUUCUGCCUGUGGUUGGAAAGGGACUGUGAGUCUUUCCUCAGGAAGUCAGUAGCCCUACCUGGUGAGGUGAUCAAGAGUUUGCUAGCACAAGAGAUGAAGCAACAAUGGCCAUGAGGGAUUCAAGGAUUAUGCGUCUCUGCACCCUACAAUACACCAACUGGCAGUUCCAUCAUUUGAAAGAAAAUCUUCAAGGUAAAGACAUUUACAAUGACACAAAAACCUUUCAAAGGCAUCAUGGUCCUAAAGGGCUUUCCCCAAGGGACAGCACAGUGUGUUCCAGGCCCUGACAAGAGGUUUAAGACCUGUGACACAGACUGAAGCUCUCCUGGCAUACUCUGAAGCUCUCCUGGCACCCUCCCCUUUAUGCUUCACAGGUGUUUCUCCUAAUAAAUUUCUUGUAUGUCUCAUCCCAUCUGGG